Molecule: ribosomal RNA, 254 nt
Filed under: uncultured bacterium
Lineage: Bacteria
Description: partial 16S ribosomal RNA
Rfam family: Bacterial small subunit ribosomal RNA
Source: RNAcentral
UACGUAGGGCGCAAGCGUUGUCCGGAAUUAUUGGGCGUAAAGAGCUCGUAGGCGGUCUGUCGCGUCGGCUGUGAAAACUCGGGGCUCAACCCCGAGCCUGCAGUCGAUACGGGCAGACUAGAGUGCAGUAGGGGAGACUGGAAUUCCUGGUGUAGCGGUGAAAUGCGCAGAUAUCAGGAGGAACACCGGUGGCGAAGGCGGGUCUCUGGGCUGUAACUGACGCUGAGGAGCGAAAGCGUGGGGAGCAAACAGGG